Molecule: long non-coding RNA, 321 nt
Organism: Cyprinodon tularosa
Lineage: Eukaryota; Metazoa; Chordata; Actinopteri; Cyprinodontiformes; Cyprinodontidae
Exons: 3
Source: RefSeq, a predicted model, not a curated record
CAUUAAAGGAGAGAUUUUCACACAUGGAAACCUUUUAUGAGCUGUAUGGAUUUCUCUACUCCACUGAUGUCAUGAGAAGCACUGAGAAGGAAGGGAAGCUGGAUGAAUGUUGCCAGAGACUUGAGCAGACGAUGGAUGACAUUGAUGCAGAGGAUAUGAAACUUGAGAUGGCCCCGUGCCUGCCUUUGCCUAGACUACUACAGAAAGGGACAAAAGAACACAGAAGAAAACCACAACAAAAAGGAUAAGAAGAGAGCGACAAAAGAGGGCCCCAUGCCUGUCUUUGCCUAGGGCCCCAAAUUUCCUAAGUCCGCCCCUGGA